This 77-nucleotide transfer RNA is filed under the name Corynebacterium sp. RNAcentral's name for it is "tRNA-Ile". It matches the Rfam family "tRNA". Rfam says of the family: Transfer RNA (tRNA) molecules are approximately 80 nucleotides in length. Their secondary structure includes four short double-helical elements and three loops (D, anti-codon, and T loops). RNAcentral also lists the same sequence under 9 other names. Lineage: Bacteria; Bacillati; Actinomycetota; Actinomycetes; Mycobacteriales; Corynebacteriaceae. The record is from RNAcentral.
GGGCCUAUAGCUCAGUUGGUUAGAGCGCUUCACUGAUAAUGAAGAGGUCGCAAGUUCGACUCUUGCUAGGCCCACCA